This 563-nucleotide long non-coding RNA is filed under the name Gossypium barbadense (sea-island cotton). RNAcentral describes it as "long non-coding RNA (GBAR_LNC014403)". The record is from RNAcentral. Lineage: Eukaryota; Viridiplantae; Streptophyta; Magnoliopsida; Malvales; Malvaceae.
GCUAUGAGUGGCUAGUUUAUUUAAGCUUAGUUUGACACUUAUGAAACCGGGCACAAGUGAUAUGAAAUCUAUUUUGUUCCAAAAUCGAAUUUGGCACUCUUGAAUUGUUUGAUUUUAUCUUCCAAGGAAUUUUUCUAAUUCAAUUGGAGUGAUCACCUAAUUAAUUUAGGAAUUUUUCUUAUAAUCAUUUAAGUGCAAAUUGAGAAAUUGAAUUUCUCAAUUAUACUUAGAAUUAGUGAUAAUUAAUUGGCCGCAGCUAAUUAAGACAACUUCGGAUUUAAUCUUAGAAGCUGCUGGAGGAUUUUCUUUGGUUAAGGCAAGGCGAAGUCUCUAAAACUCUAGAAUUCCUUUAACAAAGUCGACAUAAAGAUAAUUAAAGGAAGAUUUCAAUCAUGAACGUUCUCUAAUUGAAUAAUUUACUAGGGAUAAGAAAUUGCUUCGUAAGUGAUUUUUUCAGCCUUGCUACUAAUUUGAUUUCUUAGCUUAAUUUCAGGUUUCAAAGGACUUGUGCUGGGUGGAUUAAGGCGUCAAAUACUAAGCAUUAUUCUUCUCUUGAUAUUUUC